Molecule: non-coding RNA, 320 nt
Organism: Pelobates cultripes (western spadefoot toad)
Lineage: Eukaryota; Metazoa; Chordata; Amphibia; Anura; Pelobatidae
Source: the annotation of a GenBank genome assembly
UUGCAGCCUGUGCAAAUGCAACCGAGCAGCUAAAAAUCCCAAACUGCUUGAUGAAAAUACUCAACGAAUGCCUAACUACAGUAAUAAUUAGACAGAACAGGCCAGUAUCUGCUUGCAGAUAUGGUUCCAAUGAAUUCCACAAUUCAACUAGUUGAAAUUUAUGCUAGAAAAAGAGGAACUAAAACCUUUUGAUAAGCCACAUUGGAGACAAAACUCACACUAGUUCCUAAUAUCAAUUUCUUAGCCCCAUCGUUUUCCUCUUUCACUCUCAACUCCUCUCUGUGUAUUUUAUAACCCAUCCUACUUCUGCCUCCCUCUCC